UGGGAAAGGGAGAGAAAGAAUAGAGAUGG
RNAcentral lists this non-coding RNA (29 nucleotides) under Rattus norvegicus (Norway rat). Lineage: Eukaryota; Metazoa; Chordata; Mammalia; Rodentia; Muridae. The record is from RNAcentral.